UUCAUCACUUGUGUGAACUUUACUUUCAGAAUCAAAAGGGAGGCGCGUUCUCAGUUUCAAUUCACCCUUCACCAUGAGAGCCAAGUGGAAGAAGAAGCGUAUGAGGCGGUUGAAGAGGAAGCGCCGAAAGAUGAGGCAGAGAUCCAAGUAGAGUUUGUUUUCAGCUACCAAAUCUCCAUCUCCGCAUCAGAGUCUUUUUGUAGGCUUUUUUUUCCUUCUUUUUUCGUUUUUCUAAUUGAUGUUAUUUUCUCAUUCGUGAAUUCUGAUCUGUAACAGUGGUUUUUAUUUUUUACUGUUUCGACACUGCUGCUGAAUCAAACUAUUUAAUCGGAUGAGAUUUUUUUCGUAUGAAAUCAUUUUUCCCAA
Erythranthe guttata (spotted monkey flower) is the source of this 366-nucleotide long non-coding RNA. RefSeq lists it as uncharacterized. The record is from RefSeq and is a predicted model, not a curated record. NCBI's taxonomy places the organism in Eukaryota, Viridiplantae, Streptophyta, Magnoliopsida, Lamiales, Phrymaceae.